Molecule: ribosomal RNA, 403 nt
Filed under: Triatoma costalimai
Lineage: Eukaryota; Metazoa; Arthropoda; Insecta; Hemiptera; Reduviidae
Description: partial 16S ribosomal RNA
Rfam family: Bacterial large subunit ribosomal RNA
Source: RNAcentral
GUAUUUUAACUGUGCUAAGGUAGCAUAAUCAUUUGUCUUUUGAUUGAGGGCUGGAAUGAAGGGUUGGACGAGGUAUUAGCUUUCUUUAAUUUAAUUUGAGGAAUUUAAUUUUUGAGUUAAAAAGCUUAAAUUUAUUUAUGGGACGAGAAGACCCUAUAGAUCUUUAUAGUUUUAUAUUUUAGUAAUUUGGGGAUUUAUGUAUUUUAAGUAAAUGAACUAUUUUGUUGGGGUGACUGUAGAAUUUUAAUAACUUCUAUUUUGUAUUUUCAUUAAUUAAUGUUUUUGUGAUCCAUAAUUUAUGAUUAGAAGAUUAAGUUACCUUAGGGAUAACAGCGUAAUUUCCUCGGAGAGUUCAUAUUGAUGAGGGAGUUUGCGACCUCGAUGUUGGAUUAAAAUAAGUUAU